CGGGAUGUAGCGCAGCCCGGUAGCGCGCGUCGUUCGGGACGACGAGGUCGCAGGUUCGAAUCCUGUCAUCCCGACAA
Molecule: transfer RNA, 77 nt
Filed under: Chitinophaga rupis
Lineage: Bacteria; Pseudomonadati; Bacteroidota; Chitinophagia; Chitinophagales; Chitinophagaceae
Description: tRNA_Pro_CGG
Rfam family: tRNA
About the family: Transfer RNA (tRNA) molecules are approximately 80 nucleotides in length. Their secondary structure includes four short double-helical elements and three loops (D, anti-codon, and T loops).
Source: RNAcentral